Molecule: ribosomal RNA, 508 nt
Filed under: uncultured bacterium
Lineage: Bacteria
Description: bacterial SSU rRNA
Rfam family: Bacterial small subunit ribosomal RNA
Source: RNAcentral
AUGGCUCAGGAUGAACGCUAGCGACAGGCUUAACACAUGCAAGUCGAGGGCAGCAUAAAAGUAGCAAUACGUUGGUGGCGACCGGCGCACGGGUGAGUAACGCGUAUGCAACCUACCUAUCGAGAGGGGAAUAACCCGGCGAAAGUCGGACUAAUACCGCAUAAAACAGGGGCACCGCAUGGUGAUAUUUGUUAAAGAAAUUCGCUGAUAGGUGGGCAUGCGUUCCAUUAGGUAGUUGGUGAGGUAACGGCUCACCAAGCCGACGAUGGAUAGGGGAACUGAGAGGUUGGUCCCCCACACUGGUACUGAGACACGGACCAGACUCCUACGGGAGGCAGCAGUGAGGAAUAUUGGUCAAUGGGCGGGAGCCUGAACCAGCCAAGUCGCCGUGAAGGAAGAAGGAUCUAUGGUUCGUAAACUUCUUUUGCAGGGGAAUAAAGUGCAGGACGUGUCCUGUUUUGUAUGUACCCUGAGAAUAGGGAUCGGCUAACUCCGUGCCAGCCGCGGC